CUAAAUAGUAAUUUUUUCUAGAAAAAUUGAUGUUAAAAAUUGGUGGUUUCUCACGUAGAUGAUUCAAAAUAAAUCAAUCUACUGAUAACUAAACAUACAAAUUUGAAAUUUUCACUGAUUCGAAUGACAAACCAAUAUUCAAGAGCAGCCCACAUGUGGACCUCAAAUUCCAAAUCAAAAAAAUUAUAUAUAAAAAAAUAAGUUUUCAAAUCUUUCGUGUGCAUACAGAGAAUCACCCAGAAGAGAGAAUAACAGCAAGUGAUUGAAAGGAAGUAGAUUAAACAUUGUUCAAGUUGUCUGGCUUUUUAAGAGGUGGAGGAGACGACGAUGGAUGAGAAGAGAGCGGCGCAGCAAUACCUGUACCUGGUGGUGGAGUUGGUGCGCCAUAGACUUGAGCAUUUGUACGAACAUCUUGUCUCCCUUUGGCUCUUCCCAAGAAAUAGCACCCAAAACCAAGCAGUAGAGAGAAGAUUAUCAAAGGCAAAGAGAUCACCACCACCAUACCCAUCUUAACAAGCUGAGGAAGAUAUAGACAGAUGGAUGCAGAGGAGAAGCAGAGAUGGGAAAUUUAUAGGCGUAGGACAGUGGAAAGUGAAGCUGCUGCUUCUGCUUUGUUGCUUAUCAA
Molecule: unclassified non-coding RNA, 625 nt
Filed under: Hevea brasiliensis (rubber tree)
Lineage: Eukaryota; Viridiplantae; Streptophyta; Magnoliopsida; Malpighiales; Euphorbiaceae
Source: RNAcentral